AGAUGAACAAUGUAUUUAUUGCAUGUGGUGCCAAGUUUGUAAAGACUAUUAAUGUAGAAUAGCCUAUUUUCUGCUCUGUUUUUCCAAUCUAUUAAAUAUAUAAUCAUCUACGUAUAGGGUCUGCCUCACCUUAGUCCAUAAAUUCUUUGCCUUAUUUAUGUCUGCAUUUACUUGUACAGCUGGUAAGUCAUUUGUUCAAAAGAAGUAAAUGGUUGGUUUUGAUCCCUAGACUGUGAAACAGGGAUUCACAAAACGGUUAUGCAUCUAAUAAAUUGACUCUUAAAUAUUGGGAACAACUUCAAGAAUUUGAUUUGACCAUCUAAAUUAAUGCUAAAUAUAUUUUGUUCUGCACUCUUGAUAGUAUUUUACUGUUGAAAGGUUUAGUUAUAGGAAUGCCUAGGAGCACCUUCCCCCCCCCACAUUGGCCUCUCCUCUUGUUAAAUGUGCAAUACUACACAGGUAAAUCCAAUACUUAACUAUGACUCUUAAAAACCGUCAUCCAAAUAUCUUGUAUUCUUGGUGUUAUUCUCCAAGAUUUACCAAGACUUCACCUUAAAUGCUUUGGCUGUGGGAUCGGCAUAUGCUGUUCUCAGGAUUGCUUCAAUAUAAAUGAACUGUAAAUCUGGCCUUCUGAUGCUGUCAUGCAUAAAAUACCUGGUAGAUGAUUCCUAACAGGUGUAAGGCCAGAUCCUGAGACCUUGGUUCAUACAACUCAGAUCAACAACAGUAGUUAAUUAUUACCAAUUGAAGCAAGAGCUACAGUUUGGUGUGCAGUUUGCAUGUGGGCUUCAGAUACUGCUAAAUGCUUCAUCUGUAAUAAUGAUUCCCUCAUCUCUCCUUGAAUCAAUGGGAGAUGAGUGGUUUUCAGUCAUUGAAUUGGGCUCUUAUUUCUACAGAGCUGCUUAAACCAGACCCUUGUGAACAAUAUAGACUUAUGCUGAUAGCUGGUAGGGUCAAAUGGGAUGGUUUUCAAAUAGCAGUUAGAAACUUGUACAAGAAGGGGACUGGCACUAAAGAAAAGCAAAGCCACUUAACAUCCUGCAAGGAGAAGUACUGGUGUUUCAGAUUGAUAAGAGCCCUUGUUCUUCUAUUCCUGUUUCCUUCCAUCCUGUGUAGCACUGACUUUGAUUAUAAUAAUUUGCAUGUCUGCCUAAGCCCAUGCUAUCUUCUUAAACUGCUUGUGGGAUGGGGUGACCUAAGCUACCUGUAUGUUCCUGAAAAUUAUGAAAAUGAUUCUUAUUUUGAUCUCUCUUUUUUGUUGCCUGAAGGUAGAUUUGGAGGGCAAUCCCUUGGAGAUAUUAACAGUCUUACGUCUUCCUGCAUGAAGAAAGAUAAAAAGCUACCAAGAAACAUCACUAAUUUGAAAGUGGAAAAAUUCAGAAGCAUGUGCCACUCUGCUAUUAGUAUUUUUCCAAACAGAAUUCUAAGUAAAUGCAUAAAAGGUCCUUGGAAGAAAAGGAAAAGGAAAAAAAAAAAAAAAAACAACAACAACAAAAAAACAACAGCAGGAUAUCUAACAGUCACUGACUAUUUAAAUCCAUGAGGAAAAGACUAUGUGUGUCACCAAGACAGUCACAGCAUUGUGCAAGUGUGAACAAAUAUGUAUGCAUAAUGUAGGAGCUCUUUGGAAAGAAGAAAUUAAAAUAAGACAAAUUUGGGGGCAAUAGAACUGAAAACAUUGGAAGAAAAAAUGUCAUGAUCUCAAAAAAAGCAUUGAUCUCCCUAUUAAAAUAGCAGUUUCAUUAAAGGCCUUGUAUUUUAUGUAUAUGUUAGAGGUGAUACUUUGGUUUUAAUUAUGUAAUGUACAAUAUAUAGUGCUAGUGCUAUAAACUCCUUAGUCUAGACUUAAAAUGCAGAAUCUUUACAUCCUCUGUAGCUUUCAGGUUACUUGCCUAAGUCAGUGGUGGCUGUUAGGCACAGUCAGCAUUGUGAGUUGCUCUUCUGUUUCAUAAAACAAAAGUAUGAAUUCUUUGUGUGAACAUGUUAUCUGGCACAGAACUGAACAAAUAUGACAGUUUGAUUAGAUAGCAGCGCAUAUAACCAGGCUACUGUGGAGAAACUUGUUCUGCUACCUGUAAUAAAGUUUUAAACUGUUUUUUAGACA
This 2104-nucleotide long non-coding RNA is filed under the name Anas platyrhynchos platyrhynchos (common mallard). RNAcentral's name for it is "lncRNA (ENSAPLG00000018748.1)". The record is from RNAcentral. Lineage: Eukaryota; Metazoa; Chordata; Aves; Anseriformes; Anatidae.